This 253-nucleotide ribosomal RNA is filed under the name uncultured bacterium. RNAcentral's name for it is "partial 16S ribosomal RNA". It matches the Rfam family "Bacterial small subunit ribosomal RNA", at positions 524 to 776 of the family's 1533-position model. The record is from RNAcentral.
UACGGGGGGGGCAAGCGUUGUUCGGAAUUACUGGGCGUAAAGGGCUCGUAGGCGGCCAACUAAGUCCGACGUGAAAUCCCCAGGCUUAACCUGGGAACUGCGUGUGAUACUGGAUGGCUUGAAUCCGGGAGAGGGAUGCAGAAUUCCAGGUGUAGCGGUGAAAUGCGUAGAUAUCUGGAGGAAUACCGGUGGCGAAGGCGGCAUCCUGGACCGGCAUUGACGCUGAUGAGCGAAAGCUAGGGGAGCAAACGGG